Oncorhynchus mykiss (rainbow trout) is the source of this 9770-nucleotide non-coding RNA. Lineage: Eukaryota; Metazoa; Chordata; Actinopteri; Salmoniformes; Salmonidae. The record is from RefSeq and is a predicted model, not a curated record.
GUCCUCAAGGAGGGAAAGACGCAUGCAUUUGAGCAAGGGGUGAGAUGCGAACCGUGUCGAGGAGAUUGGUGGGUGUGUGUGUGCCUGUGUGAUCGCUGUGGCGACUGUACAUUGUAGCAGAGACCUCACUGCCGCGUGUGGCAGCGAUAUUGAUAAGGAACACUGGAUUGCCACUCUACAAAGGGCUGUCCAACAGAGGGCAGUGUGAGAUUUGACCAAUCCCACACUCCUCCGGUCCCCUCAGGUCCUCGCUGUGUGUCUGCAGUCAGAAUCACCCCUCUGACAAGCAUGAAAGGCUCUCCUGAUCUGAUUCCGUCUGCAGAGCUGGACCCUACAAGGGUGUGUAAAGGGAAGGGGGUCGUGACUCUGAGGGCCACUCUGGUCCACAUAGACGACGAGGACUGCGUCAGUGAAGAAUCAAAUGUUGACACAGCGCCAAGUGGUUGGAUCGGCCAGAUCAAUGGAGACAGCGCUCAAACGGGAUUUGCUGAUGGAUGCUUCCACGACAUCACAGCUGAUUUACCUACAGUCAACAGAACUCAAGCCCAGGGAAGUUCACCUGUGAACACAGAAGAACCCCAGCUUCCUGCCUCUUUUGACAUUCAGAACUAUAUUUCGUCGACAAAGGCCACCUCUGCCUACCCAUCCGCCGCUGGCACUGUCAACCCAACCGUAGUUCUGCUACAACACAACAGAGACCCCACCCCAGAGAGGGACAAAUCGCCUGAUCCAGGACCUGUAGUUGGAACAGAGCGAGAACUGAGCCAACACCCAGAUAUGGACGGCAAGAGGAUGAGGUACUCUCAAUCCCAUAUCUUGGGCCCACUGAACCAGCCCAUCGUGCCAGUACGGAACACAGAUAAGUCAAAGGACUGGUACAAGAACAUGUUUAAACAGAUACACAGAAUUCCAGAACCUGUUGAGGAAAACCCAUAUCGCCCCACCUACAUAUUCCCUGAAUCCUAUGAUCCUAGGCAGAUGAAAACAACAGAUGAUGGUCACUCCCCCUAUGGUUAUGUGGAAGAAGUGAAAGCGGUCCCACGAUCAAAAAGUGCCUCUGAAGUUGACCGUAGGUCGUCUAUGCCUGUGCCAACACGGUCCUCUUCCCUCAAACCUGCCAAAAGGAACGACUGGGAGCCCCCUGACAAAAAGGUAGACACCAGGAAGUACCGUGCCGAGCCCAAGAGCAUCUUCGAGUACGAGCCGGGAAAAUCGUCGGUGAUGAAACUGGAGAGAAAGACUCAGCACACUAGUCCAGAAGAUGUAGAUUUAGAGAAUGAGCCUUGGUAUAGAUUCUUUUCAGAGAUGGAUUUUGAUAAAGCGAGUGCCCCCUCUUUCAGCCCUCUGGAAACACCCUCCGACCUACAGAAGUACUCCGGGUGUAAGGCCGGACACAGCGAGGUGGAGAAGGACGAAGGCUCGUCUGGCAGCGAGCCAGCGGCUCCAGAAUGCGACCGCUAUGUUUACAAGAGCAUCCUGGAGGGCGGUGAUAUUCCCCUGCAAGGUCUGCGGGCCCUCAACAAGCGCCAUGCCAGCACCUCCUCUAAAGUGGAUUAUCAAGGUGGGAAUGGCUAUAUCAUUUCCCCCUGCUCUUCUGUAAAUAGUCGAUCAGUUCUUGCCAGUAAUGCCCUAGGUUACCAGUGUAAGAAUAAGAAGCCCUUAUCUGCCGCCAAAGGCUGCAUACCCCAAAUCCUCCCCUCUAAGUUCAAACCUAAGCUGAUGGCCCCUGGUGGUGACAGCCAGGACAGGAGGACUGUGCCUGCCAAGCACCCAAAGGCACACAGCUGUGAGGAUAUAUACACAGGGAGCACAGGAGCAGAGGCCCGGGAGAGCGGACUACACUCAAACACAGACUCAGAGUCCAAUGAUCUCCCUCUUGAUUCUGAGACUGGUUUUCAAAAUGGCAACCCUGAGACUAGAAGGAGCACAGCCGAGUUCUCCACCCUAUACCGGAACAUGCACAGCAUCAAGAGGCCUUCCUACUCGGUGGGCUCCAGCCCCCACGGGAGUGUCCGUAGCCUGACCUCCUUGUUUGAAAAGGUGGGGAUCAAUGAAACUGAUGGGGAGGGGGAUGAGGCAGGGGGGAACAUUCCCCAGCGGGACGCUGUGUCAUCAAGGGUGUCGGCGUUUGAACUGAUCAUCCAGCGCUCCAGCUUAACUCCCACACGCUCCUCCUCCAUGCCAACGCUACCCACUGGCCCCACCCACAACCACGGCGCCGCCAACCUCUUCAUGGUGUCUGCCGUCUCAGCUGAGUUGCUGCUGGUCACUGACCCUGGGCAGACAGAGGGCUGCCCCCUGGAGGACACGGAGGGCAAGGUAGCCCAAGACGAGGCCUCUCUAUCAGGCAGCAAGAUAGUGGAGGCGGUGGCAUCCUCGGAGUACAGUGACACCCUGCGAGCCGAGUCUCUCUCUGGGACUGACGUAGAGAUAGAGCAGCACGGCUCCACAGAGAAAGUACCAAAAGAGAAACCCCCAGUGGUCACGUUCUCCAGAACCUCAAACAGUCCCCCAGCACCAGUCACUCCAUCUGCUCCCCCACACAACUACCACCUCCACAACCACCACCACCACCACCACCACCACCUUAAACCCAGCAGCAAGUGCAAAGGCUCCUGCCCAGCCUCUUAUACCCGGUUCACCACCAUCCGGCGGCAUGAGAGGCAGCAGCAGGCCUCAGCCCAGCAGGACAAACUCUCCACUCAGGAGAAAAUAAAGAACUCCUCCUCUCUCCCCGCGAACCUCUUGCUCAUGGGCCCUGCACCAUUCAUGGUGAAGAGGUCUCUCCAGUCUCACCGGGCCAAAAAUUAUUUCUCAGCCACUAAGGUGAUGGCAGGUCAAAGGUCACAGACCCAUUCUAGUGAGCCCAGGCCCCUCAUCCCACAGCGUCUCUCUUCCUUGGAGGUGCUGGAGAGGCUUGGCACUGGGGAGGGUGCACCGACCGAAAGUGACAACAACCUGACUAAUGGGGGAGGCAUUGACGCCAAUGGGAAUCUUCUGCAGCCGCUGGCAGCUCAUCGCAGAGAUUCAGACUCGUCCCAGGCUUUGACCCAAGGAGACCUUGGUGACGGCCAGGAUGAGGUGGUUAGGAGACGCCAUGGAGACAAAGAGAAAAUCCUGGAAGAGCAGCGGCGGCUGAAGAGGGAGCAGGAGGAGGCUGACACAGCAUCGAGGCGACACACAGGAAUCGUUCCCACCCACCACCAGUUCAUCACUAAUGAACGCUUCGGAGACCUGCUCAACAUCAACAUCAACGACACAGACAAGAGGAAAUCCGGAUCAGAGAGAACUCCAGCCCUGGCUCGGUUUGACUUCAGAGCAGAAACUCUAAAGGAGUUACCAUUUCAAAAGGGAGACAUUGUGUACAUCAUUCGACAGGUGGAUAAUAAUUGGUUCGAAGGGGAGCAUCACGGCAGAGUCGGCAUCUUCCCACGGAGUUAUGUUGAGCUCCUUCCCCCCACGGAGAAGGCCCAGCCAAAGAAGAGUGCCCCAGUGCAGGUGCUGGAGUAUGGAGAGGCCAUAGCCCGUUUCAACUUCACAGGGGACACGGUGGUGGAGAUGUCAUUUAGAAAGGGAGAGAGGAUCAUCCUAAUUCGCAGGGUCGAUGAGAACUGGUACGAGGGCAAGGUCUCCGGUUCCAAUCGCCAGGGUAUCUUCCCCGUCACCUACAUAGAGGUGCACAAACGACCCAGAGUCAGGAAUGGAUUGGAUUAUCCAGACCCGCCCAUUGGCCAAUCACCUCACCGCAGCCUCAAUGCUUCCCCUCAGCUGAACCUUGUCCGUAACAACCGGCUCAUCUCGUCCCCCCUGCCCCUCCCCCGCUCCCCCCGCCGCUCUGUGUCCCCCGAGGUCCACGCCAUCUCCUCUGAGUGGAUCUCCCUGACCAUAGGGGGUGCCGGCCCCCCUGCUGCCCCAACCCCUCCUCUACCCCCACUCCCCUCUGUGUCUUAUCGCUGGGGCGAAUACCUGCCCCCUUCCAUGUCCGCCAGCCCCGUGCCCCCCAUCUGCGGCAGCCCUUACUGCAUCUCCCCAAUGGCCUCCCCUUCUGCCUCCCCCCUGCCCCCACCCUACCCACCCCGCCCUGGCUCAGCCACCCCUUACCUCACCUUCACCCCUCCCCAGGGGGAGGACUUUCUGCUCUCCCCUCCCUCUCCUCGUCUGUCCCGCAGUCUGAGCCCCUGUGGGGGGGUGGGCCUGGAGAGCUGGCUGACUGGGGCCAGUCCCUUGCGCAUCCUGGAGAGGGAUUUGAUGGAGGGGGAGGGGGCAGAGGGAGACAGGGGCACUGGACGCGAAGCCCUGGGCUGCUGGCGAAAUAGCCCUGCAGAGCUGGUGAAGAAUGAGAGUGACUACCAUGGUAGAACCUCCAGGAGCCCUGUCAUGUUGUUUGACAUCCACGACAACAACAUGAAUGCUAACUCAUUUGCGCAACCCCAGUCCCACAGCCCGGAGCCGAGUCGUCUCAGCUGUGGAAUUGUUACCCUACAGUUUCCAGGCUUUGUACUGUUACGUGCCACAGAAUGAGGAUGAGCUGGAGCUGCAGGAGGGAGAUCUUGUCAGCGUAAUGGAGAAGUGUGACGAUGGCUGGUUUGUUGGUACCUCAAAGAGGACCAAACAGUUUGGCACGUUUCCAGGAAACUACGUGAAAGAGGUCAACUUGUAACCUGUCAACAGACAUUUAUAGUGUGAGGAGAACCCAGCUCUAACCCGUGGUUACCAUUCAAGUAUUUGGGAAGGCAUUACUAUUGCGCUUGAUUGUUUCAAUUAGGAUAGUCAUUCAGCCAGGUGAAUAUGUCUGGUGUAAGUGAUCAGUUUGGUGUGAGGUAUGUCGAUGUACAUGAGGCGAAGACAGGAGGAAGCUUUGCUGUUGACUCACUGCCCAAACGUCAGUGCGGUGUAUACGUACUCCAACCAUAUCCUACACAGUACAUGGGCGGAAUUUAUAAUAUCCUAUUCUGACAAUAGAACUUUUAGUUUAAAAAAAAUCCUCCCAAAAUGUCAGCACAUACAGACUACGUUAUAAAAUGAGUUUGCAAAACAUUAUCAACACCAGAUUUUUCCAUGACAUAGACUGACCAGGUGAAUCCAGGUGAAAGCUAUGAUCCCUUAUUGAUGUCACUUGUUAAAUCCACUUCACAUCAGUGUAGAUGAAGGGGAGGAGACAGGUUAAAUAAGCAUUUUUAAUCCUUGAGACAAUUGAGUCAUGGAUUGUGUAUGUGUGCCAUUCAGAGGGUGAAUGGGCAAGACAAAAGAUUUAAGUGCCUUUGAACAGGGUAUGGUAGUAGGUGCCAGGCGGACCGGUUUGUGUCAAGAACUGCAACGCUGCUGGGAUUCUUAAUGCUCAAUCUGUUUCCCGUGUGUUUCACGAAUGGUCUACCACCCAAAGGACAUCCAGCCAACUUAACACAACUGUGGGAGACAUUGGAGUCAAUAUGGGCCAGCAUCCCUGUGGAAGCUUUCAACAUGUCCCAACUCAAUAUUAGGAAGGUGUUCUUACUGUUUUGUACACUCAGUCAGUAUUCUUGUACAGUGUAUGUAGUAGCUGCGGUGUGUCAUUGUGAUUGUGAACUACUAUACAAAGUAUUUUUGAAGCGCAUGAAUGUCUAUCUACAGUAUAUGGGGGGUCAGCAGCAGAGCAGUUCAUGGAUCAAGAGAGUGGAUCUUAUAACUACCAUGAUGGUAUACGAGGGCUCAAAUGUGUUGUUGAUGAGCUAGAGAAAUAGGAGCUGUUAUUCAUCAGCUAUCUUUCAGGACCUUUUUUGGCGAAAGCAUUUUUCAUUGACUUUGAAUGCGGAUACAUACAUCUGAAGGUCGACAUGACAUGCUAAGUCGUCUAGAAGACUCAUGUUUUUCCUAGGAAAACCCAGUAACUAGUAUUGUUAGACAAACCAUGGAGGUAUCAGGCUGUAUGUGAUGGCACAUACUUGGACAGGGUCCAACAAACCAUAUUCCUUGAUUCGAAUUUUGAAAACCCAUUGACCUGACAGUAAACUUCUAAAAAAAAAAAAAAAAAUUUAAGUAUAGAAUUGUGGAAUGGCUUGGUUUCAUUAGCUCAGAAUGCACUGAAAACUAUAAAGCCAUGUUUGUGACAAUGUAGUCAAUGUAGGCUUGUAGUCUUCAUAAAAUAGCCGGGCGUUCUUACCUCAGUAUAGUCCAAAAGCUUCCAAUGCCGUUUUAGUAUUGCCUUUGUUUUCUAACCAAGGUGUGUCCUAUAAUUCGAGCAUGUUCGUGUGCAUGAUAGAAAUCUGGAAAUGCUCAAACACGUUAGCUAAUAUUAGCUCAGCUUUCUGUCAGCUGAAGUGAUUAACACAAUCAGGAAGACUGGUUGUGCUAUGUACAUACCUGAUUAAGACAGAUCGUGCAUGUGUAUGAAGGCGUGUACGUGCAAGCAAGCUUUUAUGCCUAUGUGUCACACCUAUGUGUUACACAUCUCUUUUCAAAAAAAUGAUUUUCUGUCAUCUUGUACAGCAUAUCUGUCCCGUAAAAUUAGAAGUAACAUUAGCUGUCUGAUCUUUGGUGAUUCCUGUGAGGUAGCUUGGUGGCAGCUAUACUGGCUCCAGUGAAACCACAGGACAGGCGUGGUGUGCCACUCUUUUUAAAGCACUUAACUUCCGCCCCGAGGUCAUUUUUGAGCUUUCUCCUCACACUAAUUGUAUACUAAUUCAUUUGAAGUUUAAAAAGGCCUUUUGUGAACUAACACUCGCACUUUACUUUUUUUCGCCCCUUACUAGCUCUGACUUUGCUGAUAGCUACUUUAUUGAGGAAAAAUGUACUUACCAUGACUGUGAUGUGUGGUUGACCCACCUAGCUAUCUUAAGCUGAAUGCACUAAGUGUAUGUCGCUCUGGAUAAGAGUGUCUGCUAAAUGAUUAAAAUGUAAAUGUAACUCUUUGUUUGAGUAACGAUUGAUUUUAAUUUGUGAGCAUUUUACUUUUUACAUUUGACAAAUUAUAUAUCCCAAUAUUGUUGGAUACAGGGGCCUUUUAUACACAGAAGACUAUGUGUAGCAUCAGAGAGUGCUAAGCUAUUUAAGAGCAUUAAACUACAUCAAUGCCAUUAUUAUUUUGAGGCCAGCAGGUACAACCAGAAAAACAUUACUCAUUAUCUUUGAACUGGAUUGCUCCCUCAGUGAAGAUUGCUUUGAAUUCGGAUAUCAACGCAUUGAAACAGUCUUCCUGUGAGGACAGAGGUCCUCAAUCUGAGAGCUACAUCAGAUCACUAUGCCGGUAACAGCCACCAUACGUCAGAAUAUAUCCUGAAAACGUAGCAGAUUGAAAUAAGAAUGUAUUGUGUUGUGGCAGCUCUACUUUCUUCUCUCUUACUCUGUGCGUAUCAAAUUAUUCCUCCUUAUACCUCACUGCUAUGCGUUCUUCGAAGGAAUCCUCAAUGUCAUGCGUGACAGUAGUCUGGGUUCACUAGGCCAAUAGAAUUGAAAUGUGUUUCUCAGACAAAAAUAAGUAUAUCUGUCAUAAGACUAUCAACAUCUAACUAGUAUUAUUACCUUUAUAGUAAUACUUCAUCUACUUAAUGAUGACUUAUGUUAAAUAUCGUUUAAAGCUAUUAAUGCCAUGUUCACAUUGUCAGUUUGCAGUGACUCAAAUCCUAUUUAUUUGCAUUUCCGAUUCAAAUCUUUUCUUUGUCCUGCAGUUUGAACAGCCAAAAACCACAUGGAAUCUUGAUAUUUCUAGCCACCUUUCGAAGGUGGUUUGAAGUCAGAUACAUAUCUGAUUCCUGGCCAUGUAACUUGUGUCUUAAUGGUCGAAUCUGAUUGAUUUGCCCUCAAGUGGUUUAUAGACUGUUAUUUGGCAUAUCUUGUUGCUUGCUAGCUACUUUGUUGACCGUUUGACAAGAACAUGUGGUAACUAACUAGUUAACUUGUUAAUUGUUUACAAACAAAUGAGUGAAUGUUCUAGAAAGCUUAAACAGCUACCUAGCUAGGUAGUUGGCUGCUGUGGCGAGCCCCCCAAAAAUAUUUUGUUUUGAAAGUUGCAUCAUCUUAUCCUUUGAGGCUUUAAACGUGGUCUUACACUGUAAGACCAUGUUUACUUUUGAGCAUUCAAAGUAACUGGGAAACGUCCAUGUCAGGAAUUGUUAGCAACUUAGCUUGCUACAUAGCUUCUGAGUGAUAGGAAGCACGAGCACCACCACCAAUCAGCCUACACCACUGAGCACACACCAUCAUUACUAUGACAACUAGCGUAGCCAUGUCAGCAAAUGACUGCCAUCUGAACACACACACACACACAUCCGAUUUAGUCACUCACUUGUAACAUGCGGUUUGGACAGUCACUAUUCCAAAACGAAUUUGAAAAACAAAACUGAUUUGAGCAUUAAGGCUUUAGUGGCUGCCACCUAUCAUGUUUACCUUGUGAGAUAUUUAAGUACAGUUCUGCCUGUUUACUCAUCUGUCAGUUGUACUUGAAAAGGAAUAGAAGUAUUGAGACAAUGAGACAAUACAACACCCGAACAUUCAACAUCAUUGUUUUUCCCUAUCUUGUUAACUGCCAAUUGCCAACAUUGAUGAGAAUAUAGUCUUGUGUGACAGUUGUUUUAACGAAACCAGUUACAUUGUACUAGGUUGCUGAGUUUGUCUCUACAUCAUUCAUAUGACUAUCAAGAAGUAUUUUGCAGGCAGUAGGAGAACAUAGAUGAGGGUUUCUACUGUAUGGCCAUUCAUGUGUUUGUAAAUUUCAGUAUUUCUCCCCUUGGUUUGCUGUACAUAACUUCCAUAACUUGUUUCUGAAGGAUAAUCCGAGUGGUUGUAUUGUGACUCAGCUGUGAGCUGUUUACCCCAUAGAGAUACAGUAUAACCCAGUGUGUUCUAUUUCAUUCUGGGGUCUCCACCAUGCUAGCACUUAAGCUAUAGCUAUUAUUACCCAUCUCCAACACAGAGACAAUGACAUCCAAAGUCCAAGCAAAGCUUACAGAAUAAGGUCCAGGGACAAUCGAGUGCGGAGAGGUCUGUUCCAUGUCACACUGACUGUAUGAUAGACUUUGGCAACAAGCAAUCACUCUUCUUGUGGUAUCAUAUCAUAGCCUCACAAGUCCGUGUAAAAUGUUGAUGGGAUAAUGUGCUCCGCGAAACAUCGCAGGAUGUAUGAAUGUAUGAUUGUGGAGUACCGUAUAACACUAACAAGGAUCAAUGCUGUCAGCUUGAAUGAACAUGUAUAACAUUAAACAGCCUGGCACAAUAAGAAUUGUAAAUAUGUAUAAUAAAGAAGUAUGGAAUGCAAGCGAUGGGAAAAGUCACAUGAAGCUCUCUGUUGUUCCCGAGGGAUUUUUUGGGGGGGCAAAGCACAGAGUGAAGAGUUAUUGAGCACAGACCGUUUUGAUGCAUAUGAAGCAACGUUGCGCUGCCAUUUGAUGAGGAUCGUAAGGCCCUUAUGUCAGAUGCAAAUUGUGCCUCAUUUUCAUUAGAUUUGAUUGAUUAUCACAGAAAUGUAUCCAUAUGUCAUAUUUAAGGAUAUUACUAUUGUUUUCCCCGUUUGUGUUUUUUUUAGUAUUUGUGAUGGGAGAAGACAUGUACUAAAGAACAUGAUAGCUACUGGACUAAAGUGGGACACAACGCUUCAAAUAAAUUAUUAAUCAUCAUAACUAUGUGUUCAUUAGUUUUCCCGAGACGCUCAACCUGCAACAGGUUUUGUUUGUUUGCUUAUUUUUUUUGCGGUGCUGUUACCAUGUCAAUAUUAAAAUGAAGACAACACUAUUUGCUGCUGUGAUAUUAUUAUUGAUAUUUCGGUAUUAUGCAAUAUUUAAUAAACUAUAUAAAGCAUC